CUUCGAUUAGCGGCGGAGUAAACAAUCAUUGCUGCGCAGUUUAUUGGUCGUAGUUACCGUUUCGCAGCGGCUGCCUCUCGGCUGCGUCGGUCGGCCGGUUUCUCUUGAAGAAGCCACACUGGAAAUACACAAAUCAUAGCUCCGAGGGUCCCCGGUUCACGAGAGAUUACGAGAAGACGUGAGGUUACAACGAGGGUGGAGGGGGCCAAUCGGGUCGAGGGAAGGAAAGAUAUUGAAAACCGUUCACCCGUAACAAUUUCAUUACCAAAGGAAACCAUCGUCAGCUCUGGGAUCCUGCUCCAGUUCCCCUGGAUUCCUCCGCUUCGUCCUCUUCUUCUUCUUCUACUUCUCGGUAAGGCCUGGGGUGGAUGCAUAUGCUAAGCGGCGAUACCCGAGAAAGAAGAGAAUCGGCGCAGCAUGAGACGGUUUCAUGGCGCCAUUUAAGGAGAGGACAUUUCGUUCUGUCACCGUUUCGUGUUCCGCUGUGGAGAGACCACCUACGCGCCUCCCGUUUCAGCUUUACGUUCGCCAUCUCCAACGGAGGAGACCUUUGUCUCGGAUGCAACGGA
RNAcentral lists this long non-coding RNA (569 nucleotides) under Neodiprion lecontei (redheaded pine sawfly). RNAcentral's name for it is "uncharacterized LOC124294221". The record is from RNAcentral. Lineage: Eukaryota; Metazoa; Arthropoda; Insecta; Hymenoptera; Diprionidae.